GACGUAGGGCGCGAGCGUUGUCCGGAUUCAUUGGGCGUAAAGAGCUCGUAGGCGGCUUGGCAAGUCGGGUGUGAAAACUCCAGGCUCAACCUGGAGACGCCACCCGAUACUGCCAUGGCUAGAGUCCGGUAGGGGACCACGGAAUUCCUGGUGUAGCGGUGAAAUGCGCAGAUAUCAGGAGGAACACCGGUGGCGAAGGCGGUGGUCUGGGCCGGCACUGACGCUGAGGAGCGAAAGCGUGGGGAGCGAACAGG
This 254-nucleotide ribosomal RNA is filed under the name uncultured bacterium. RNAcentral describes it as "partial 16S ribosomal RNA". It matches the Rfam family "Bacterial small subunit ribosomal RNA", at positions 524 to 776 of the family's 1533-position model. The record is from RNAcentral.